GAGUUGUGUGGCUCCGAGGGAGGAUCGCGUGGAGUUCACCAGUUUCCAUUCAGGUUGUGGCGCGCUAUUUUUUCCUCAUAAAAGGACUCUUGUGACCUUGCCUGGGGCCCGCAGUUAAAAGCUUUAGGGCUAGGACUUGGAGGAUGUGGAGGCAAAAGGGAAGGAGAGCCGGGGGAAGAAAAACCGAAAUGGAUUCAUUCUGUGUCCUUGGCUGGAGGAGGAGAAGAGAGGAGAGAAGAAGAGGAGAAGGGGACGUGCGAGCUUCUGUUCGGCUGCCUCUGUCCGCUGGAAAGUGCCCGGCGCCCCCGGGGCUGCGCGGGGCCGGGGGGAACUCUGCGCGGAUUUUGCGCUGGGAACCUGCCAAUCAAGGCGCUAACGAGCCGCCGCCACCCCGCGCUGGCACCCACCCCUGGGCCCCCUUCGGAACCCCAUUUCUGGCAAUCUCAGCAACACGUGGGGCUCUGGCAGCUUCUGCCGACGUUGCCAUCUUCCCUCCACCGCUCCUUCUCCUGCGUGGCGUCACCACCUCCCCAGCCAGGAGCCCCAAAUUUCGCCUUUCCUCCAUCACCUGCCCCACGGCUCUUCCAGAACCGGAUGCUUUUUUGUCCAAGUUGUUUCAAACCCCUCUAGAAACAGACACUGAAAUGAAGGCAGGUGAUGGGGGGAGGUUGGGACGUUGCCUUCCUGCCCUGGCCACAUCGCUGACCUUCCCCAGCGCUCGGCUCUUUGCCCCUAGAAUAAGAAUAAUAACAACAAACUUUUAG
This 764-nucleotide long non-coding RNA is filed under the name Calidris pugnax (ruff). RNAcentral's name for it is "lncRNA (ENSCPUG00000013976.1)". The stretch from base 114 to 409 matches the Rfam family "SOX2 overlapping transcript exon 3". The record is from RNAcentral. Lineage: Eukaryota; Metazoa; Chordata; Aves; Charadriiformes; Scolopacidae.